RNAcentral lists this ribosomal RNA (254 nucleotides) under uncultured bacterium. RNAcentral's name for it is "partial 16S ribosomal RNA". It matches the Rfam family "Bacterial small subunit ribosomal RNA", at positions 524 to 776 of the family's 1533-position model. The record is from RNAcentral.
UACGAAGGGGGGCUAGCGUUGCUCGGAAUCACUGGGCGUAAAGCGCACGUAGGCGGCUUUUUAAGUCAGGGGUGAAAUCCCGGAGCUCAACUCCGGAACUGCCUUUGAUACUGAAAAGCUUGAGUUCGGGAGAGGUGAGUGGAACUGCGAGUGUAGAGGUGAAAUUCGUAGAUAUUCGCAAGAACACCGGUGGCGAAGGCGGCCCGCUGGGCAACUGCUGACACUGAGGCGCGACAGCGUGGGGAGCAAACAGG